This 253-nucleotide ribosomal RNA is filed under the name uncultured bacterium. Its description in RNAcentral is "partial 16S ribosomal RNA". It matches the Rfam family "Bacterial small subunit ribosomal RNA", at positions 524 to 776 of the family's 1533-position model. The record is from RNAcentral.
UACGUAGGGAGCAAGCGUUGUCCGGAAUCAUUGGGCGUAAAGCGCGCGUAGGCGGCCUCAUAAGUCCGUUGUGAAAGUCAAAGGCUCAACCUUUGAAAGCCGAUGGAUACUGUGAGGCUAGAGUUCGGAAGAGGCGAGUGGAAUUCCUGGUGUAGCGGUGGAAUGCGCAGAUAUCAGGAGGAACACCAAUAGCGAAGGCAGCUCGCUGGGACGAUACUGACGCUAAGGCGCGAAAGCGUGGGGGGCGAACAGG